Molecule: small nuclear RNA, 85 nt
Filed under: Sus scrofa (pig)
Lineage: Eukaryota; Metazoa; Chordata; Mammalia; Artiodactyla; Suidae
Description: U2 spliceosomal RNA (ENSSSCG00040027412.1, ENSSSCG00055005210.1, ENSSSCG00090030614.1, ENSSSCG00130016658.1)
Source: RNAcentral
AUUGCUUCUCGGCCUUUUGGCUAAGAUCAAGUGUAGAUAAAAACAAAAGCAAUUUUUUUAAGGUCAUUAUUCAGUUAGAACCUAU